This 252-nucleotide ribosomal RNA is filed under the name uncultured bacterium. RNAcentral's name for it is "partial 16S ribosomal RNA". It matches the Rfam family "Bacterial small subunit ribosomal RNA", at positions 524 to 776 of the family's 1533-position model. The record is from RNAcentral.
UACGGAGGAUGCGAGCGUUAUCCGGAUUUAUUGGGUUUAAAGGGUGCGUAGGCGGAUCGUUAAGUCAGUGGUCAAAUUGAGGGGCUCAACCCCUUCCCGCCAUUGAAACUGGCGAUCUUGAGUAGAAGAGAAGUAUGCGGAAUGCGUGGUGUAGCGGUGAAAUGCAUAGAUAUCACGCAGAACCCCGAUUGCGAAGGCAGCAUGCCGGCUUCCUACUGACGCUGAAGCACGAAAGCGUGGGGAUCGAACAGG